AACGAACGCUGGCGGCAUGCCUAACACAUGCAAGUCGAACGAGACCUUCGGGUCUAGUGGCGCACGGGUGCGUAACGCGUCGGAACCUGCCCUUAGGUUCGGCAUAACUCCCCGAAAGGGGUGCUAAUACCGGAUAAUGUCUUCGGACCAAAGAUUUAUCGCCUUUGGUUGGGCCCGCGUUGGAUUAGCUAGUUGGUAGGGUAAAAGCCUACCAAGGCGACGAUCCAUAGCUGGUCUGAGAGGAUGAUCAGCCACACUGGGACUGAGACACGGCCCAGACUCCUACGGGAGGCGGGAGUGGGGAAUAUUGGACAAUGGGCGAAAGCCUGAUCCAGCUAUGCCGCGAGAGUGAUGAAGGCCUUAGGGUUGUAAAGCUCUUUUACCCGGGAUGAUAAUGACGGUACCGGGAGAAUAAGCUCCGGCUAACUCCGUG
RNAcentral lists this ribosomal RNA (433 nucleotides) under uncultured bacterium. RNAcentral describes it as "partial 16S ribosomal RNA". It matches the Rfam family "Bacterial small subunit ribosomal RNA", at positions 29 to 507 of the family's 1533-position model. The record is from RNAcentral.